RNAcentral lists this ribosomal RNA (447 nucleotides) under uncultured bacterium. RNAcentral describes it as "bacterial SSU rRNA". It matches the Rfam family "Bacterial small subunit ribosomal RNA", at positions 355 to 825 of the family's 1533-position model. The record is from RNAcentral.
UGGGGAAUAUUGGACAAUGGGCGCAAGCCUGAUCCAGCCAUGCCGCGUGAGUGACGAAGGCCUUAGGGUUGUAAAGCUCUUUUGGCGGGGAAGAUAAUGACGGUACCCGCAGAAUAAGCUCCGGCUAACUUCGUGCCAGCAGCCGCGGUAAUACGAAGGGAGCUAGCGUUGUUCGGAAUCACUGGGCGUAAAGCGCACGUAGGCGGAUAGUUAAGUCAGGGGUGAAAUCCUGGGGCUCAACCCCAGAACUGCCUUUGAUACUGGCUGUCUCGAGGUCGAGAGAGGUUGGUGGAAUUCCUAGUGUAGAGGUGAAAUUCGUAGAUAUUAGGAAGAACACCAGUGGCGAAGGCGGCCAACUGGCUCGAUACUGACGCUGAGGUGCGAAAGCGUGGGGAGCAAACAGGAUUAGAUACCCAGGUAGUCCCUGAGCGGGCUGGCAAGGCGCAU